Molecule: long non-coding RNA, 1096 nt
Filed under: Numida meleagris (helmeted guineafowl)
Lineage: Eukaryota; Metazoa; Chordata; Aves; Galliformes; Numididae
Description: lncRNA (ENSNMEG00000001905.1)
Source: RNAcentral
GAUUAUGAUGAAGAUGAGGAUGAUGAGGAUGAGGAUGAGGAGGAUGUGGAGGAGGAUGAAGAUGAGGAGGAGGAGGAUGAUGAGGAGGAUGGGGAUGAGAAUGAAGAUGAUGAUGAGGAUAAGGAUGAUGAUGAGGAUGAGGAUGAUGAGGAGGAGGAUGAAAAUGAUGAGGAUGGGGAUGAUGAGGAUGUUGAGGAUAGAGAUGAUGAUGAAAAUGAUGAGGAUGAGGAUGAUGAGGAUAAGGAUGAUGAGGAGGAGGAGGAUGACGGUGAUGAGGAUGAGGUUGAUGAGGAAGAUGAGGAUGAGGAUGAGGUUGAUGAGGAAGAUGAGGAUGAGGAUGAGGAUGAUGGUGAGGAUGAUGAGGAGGAGGAUGGGGAUGAUGAAGAUGAUGAGGAUGAGGAUGAUGAGGAUGAGGAUGAGGAUGAAGGUGAUGAGGAUGAUGAGGAUGAUGAGGAUGGAGAUGAUGAGGACGAGGAAGAUGAGGAUGAUGAGGAUGAAGAGGAGGAAGAUGAUGAGGAUGAGGAUGUUGAGGAUGAGGAUGAGGAUGAUGAGGAUGGGGAUGAGUAUGAGGAGGAUGAUGAUGAAGAUGAGAACAAUGAGGACGAGGGUGGGGAUGAGGAUGGGGAUGAGGAUGAUGGGGAUGAUGAGGAUGAAGGUGCUGAGGAUGAGGAUGAAGAUGAUGAGGAGGAGGAGGAGGAUGAGGAUGAGGAUGAGGAUGGGGAGGAUGGGGAUGAGGAUGAUGAGGAUGAUGAGGAUGAAGAUGAUGAGGAUGAAGGUGAUGAGGAUGAGGAUGAUGAGGAUGAUGAGGAUGGGGAUGAUGAGGAUGAGGAAGAUGAGGAUGGAGAUGAUGAUGAGGAUGAGGAUGAAGAUGAGGAGGAGGAUGAAGAUGAUGACGAGGAAGAUGAGGAUGAGGAGGAUGAGGAGGAUGAGGAUGAGGAUGGGGAUGAUGAGGAUGAUGAUGGGGAUGAGGAUGAAGAUGAGGAUGGGGUUGAGGAUGAAGGUGAGGAUGGGGAUGGGGAUGAUGAGGAUGAAGGUGAUGAGGAUGAGAUUGAUGAGGAAAAUGAGGAUGAUGAGGAUGAGGAUGAUGAGGAGGAUG